This 269-nucleotide ribosomal RNA is filed under the name uncultured prokaryote. RNAcentral's name for it is "partial 16S ribosomal RNA". It matches the Rfam family "Bacterial small subunit ribosomal RNA", at positions 524 to 792 of the family's 1533-position model. The record is from RNAcentral.
CACGAACCGUACAAACGUUAUUCGGAAUUACUGGGCUUAAAGGGUGCGUAGGCGGCCUGAAAAGUUGGGUGUGAAAUACCUCGGCUCAACCGAGGAAUUGCGCUCAAUACUGCCAGGCUAGAGGGAGACAGAGGUGAGCGGAACUCAGGGUGGAGCGGUGAAAUGCGUUGAUAUCCUGAGGAACACCAGUGGCGAAGGCGGCUCACUGGGUCUCUUCUGACGCUGAGGCACGAAAGCUGGGGGAGCGAACGGGAUUAGAUACCCCCGUA